AGCUUUUACAGUGGCAGUAUCAUAGCCAAUGAGGUUUAUCUGAGGCAUGAUUAUUGCUAAUUGAAAACUUUAUUUCUUGGGAAAAUAGAAUAUAGCUAUAUCGCUGACAUAGAUGCCCAAGUUACUGUUUUAAAAUAAGUUUA
Molecule: small nuclear RNA, 143 nt
Filed under: Macaca fascicularis (crab-eating macaque)
Lineage: Eukaryota; Metazoa; Chordata; Mammalia; Primates; Cercopithecidae
Also listed under: 1 other name
Description: U4 spliceosomal RNA (ENSMFAG00000008221.2)
Rfam family: U4 spliceosomal RNA (bases 1-78)
About the family: U4 small nuclear RNA (U4 snRNA) is a component of the major U2-dependent spliceosome.
Source: RNAcentral